AGGGUUUCGNUCGUAAAACUCUGUUGUUAANGAAGACNNAUCUGAGAGUAACUNUCAGGUAUUGACGGUAUUNACCAGAAAGCCACGGCUAACUACGUGCCAGCAGCCGCGGUAAUACGUAGGUGGCAAGCGUUGUCCGGAUUUAUUGGGCGUAAAGCGAGCGCAGGCGGUUUUUUAAGUCUGAUGUGAAAGCUUCGGCUCAACCGAAGAAGUGCAUCGGAAACUGGGAAACUUGAGUGCAGAAGAGGACAGUGGAACUCCAUGUGUAGCGGUGAAAUGCGUAGAUAUAUGGAAGAACACCAGUGGCGAAGGCGGCUGUCUGGUCUGUAACUGACGCUGAGGCUCGAAAGUAUGGGUAGCAAACAGGAUUAGAUACCCUGGUAGUCCAUACCGUAAACGAUGAAUGCUAAGUGUUGGAGGGUUUCCGCCCUUCAGUGCUGCAGCUAACGCAUUAAGCAUUCCGCCUGGGGAGUACGGCCGCAAGGCUGAAACUCAAAGGAAUUGACGGGGGCCCGCACAAGCGGUGGAGCAUGUGGUUUAAUUCGAAGCUACGCGAAGAACCUUACCAGGUCUUGACAUACUAUGCAAAUCUAAGAGAUUAGACGUUCCCUUCGGGGACAUGGAUACAGGUGGUGCAUGGUUGUCGUCAGCUCGUGUCGUGAGAUGUU
This 668-nucleotide ribosomal RNA is filed under the name Lactiplantibacillus plantarum. Its description in RNAcentral is "bacterial SSU rRNA". It matches the Rfam family "Bacterial small subunit ribosomal RNA", at positions 412 to 1076 of the family's 1533-position model. The record is from RNAcentral. Lineage: Bacteria; Bacillati; Bacillota; Bacilli; Lactobacillales; Lactobacillaceae.